Molecule: ribosomal RNA, 202 nt
Filed under: uncultured bacterium
Lineage: Bacteria
Description: partial 16S ribosomal RNA
Rfam family: Bacterial small subunit ribosomal RNA
Source: RNAcentral
UGCAGUCUGCAACUCGGCUGCAUGAAGCUGGAAUCGCUAGUAAUCGCGGAUCAGAAUGCCGCGGUGAAUACGUUCCCGGGUCUUGUACACACCGCCCGUCACACCAUGGGAGUCGGAAAUGCCCGAAGCCGGUGACCCAACCAAAAGGAGGGAGCCGUCGAAGGCAGGUCUGAUAACUGGGGUGAAGUCGUAACAAGGUAGC